This 487-nucleotide ribosomal RNA is filed under the name uncultured bacterium. RNAcentral describes it as "bacterial SSU rRNA". It matches the Rfam family "Bacterial small subunit ribosomal RNA", at positions 29 to 507 of the family's 1533-position model. The record is from RNAcentral.
AAUGAACGUUGGCGGCGUGGAUUAGGCAUGCAAGUCGAGCGAGAAGUCCUUGAAUGAUCCUUCGGGUGAAUGAUUGGAUGGAAAGCGGCGAACGGCGUAGUUAUGGAUAGGUUACGUGCCCUCAGGACGGGAAUAGCCACGGGAAACUGUGGGUAAUGCCCGAUAAUCUCUCCGGAGCAAAUGGUGUGAUUCCGCCUGAGGAGCGGCUUAUUUGGUAUUAGCUUGUUGGUGGGGUAACGGCCUACCAAGGCUUAGAUGCCUAGGGGGUGUGAGAGCAUGGCCCCACGACCGGGACUGAGACACUGCCCGGACAUCUACGGAUGGCUGCAGUCGAGAAUCUUCCGCAAUGGGCGCAAGCCCGACGGAGCGACGCCGCGUGUGGGACGAAGGCCCUUGGGUUGUAAACCACUGUCAGAGGGGAUGAAAUUGUUGAGGGCAAUCCCUCUUCAUUGACAGAGCCUCAGAGGAAGCACGGGCUAAGUACGUG